Molecule: ribosomal RNA, 447 nt
Filed under: uncultured Anaerolineae bacterium
Lineage: Bacteria; Bacillati; Chloroflexota; Anaerolineae
Description: bacterial SSU rRNA
Rfam family: Bacterial small subunit ribosomal RNA
Source: RNAcentral
UGUCCUACGGGAGGCAGCAGUGAGGGAUCUUGGGCAAUGGGCGCAAGCCUGACCCAGCGACGCCGCGUGGAGGACGAAGGGCUUCGGCUCGUAAACUCCUUUUCCCGUGGACGAGAGCAGGACGGUACACGGGGAAUAAGUCUCGGCUAACUACGUGCCAGCAGCCGCGGUAAAACGUAGGAGGCGAGCGUUAUCCGGAAUCACUGGGCGUAAAGGGCGUCUAGGCGGCACGACAAGCGAGGGGUGAAAGCUUCUGGCUCAACCAGGAGAGUGCGCUUCGGACUGUCGAGCUUGGAGGGCAGGUGAAGGGGGUGGAAUUCCCGGUGGAGUGGUGGAAUGCGUAGAGAUCGGGAGGAACACCAGUGGCGAAAGCGGCCCCCUGGCCUGUAUCUGACGCUGAAGCGCGAAAGCGUGGGGAGCAAACGGGAUUAGAUACCCUGGUAGUCC